UAUUGACAGGGUUUCACUAUGUUUGUCAGGCUAGUCGUGAACUCCUGACCUUGUGAUCCGCCAGGCCUCCCAAAGUGCUGGGAUUACAGACAUGAGCCACCACACCCGGCCAAAAUGGGGAAGGCAGUUACCAACCCCUGUGGACAGGAAUCGCUUUUGAAGGUAGGGCUGAGGUGAUCAUCAACCAAGUUGUAAAGAUCAAAACUGACCAGCCUGCCGGAGACUACCUAACCCUGUUCCUGUUUCUGCCGUAUCAAGUGAGGACUUUCUGUUCCCUCUGGCGAUGCUACUCUGUGUGACUCAUGAUUCCACGUAGGCUUGAAGGAAUGGUCUUUAUUCAGUGCCUGUUAGGUGUGAAGCAAGGUAUUAGAAAUUGUAUAUACAUUAUCACAUUGAUGUAUCACAAUCAUCUGCUGGAGGUGGUAUUAUCCCUAAUUUUUAGACAAAAAAAGUGAGAUUCUGAGAGGGAAAGUGUAGUCUCCAAGCUCACACGUGUAGCAGUUCAGAGAAUUCAAACCCAGAUCUCUGUUUUUGAACUCCUUGACCUUGUCUUUAUAAUGUCAUUGCCUCAAAUUUUGUAUCCACCCAAGCUAAAUGGAAGGAAGAAUUUAGUACCUUAGACUUGGUAUAUUGUUUUUCAGGGGAAAUAAGUAUAAGAAAUAGGAUUUCGUUUGGCAUGGAGUAUUUCAUUCAUAUAUGAGAUUUUUAGUGGGAACCCACUUGGUGCUAGACGUUGUUUGUAGGCAUUGGUGAGCCAUAUCUCUGUGCAAGACAGGCGUAGUCCUUGCUCUCAGGGAAUAAUAAAUUAUGCCAUAGCUGUGUAAACCCA
Molecule: long non-coding RNA, 829 nt
Organism: Homo sapiens (human)
Lineage: Eukaryota; Metazoa; Chordata; Mammalia; Primates; Hominidae
Exons: 2
Source: RefSeq, a predicted model, not a curated record